This 546-nucleotide ribosomal RNA is filed under the name uncultured Methanoculleus sp. RNAcentral describes it as "bacterial SSU rRNA". It matches the Rfam family "Archaeal small subunit ribosomal RNA", at positions 326 to 876 of the family's 1478-position model. Lineage: Archaea; Methanobacteriati; Methanobacteriota; Methanomicrobia; Methanomicrobiales; Methanomicrobiaceae. The record is from RNAcentral.
CGGGGCGCAGCAGGCGCGAAAACUUUACAAUGCGGGCAACCGUGAUAAGGGAACCUCGAGUGCCUGUACAUGCAGGCUGUCYGGGUGUCUAAAACACACCCAAAGAAAGGGCCGGGCAAGACCGGUGCCAGCCGCCGCGGUAAUACCGGCGGCUCGAGUGGUGGCCACUUUUAUUGGGCUUAAAGCGUUCGUAGCUGGGUUGUUAAGUCUCUUGGGAAAUCYGGCGGCUUAACCGUCAGGCGUCUAAGAGAUACUGGCAAUCUUGGAACCGGGAGAGGUGAGGGGUACUUCGGGGGUAGGAGUGAAAUCCUGUAAUCCUCGAGGGACCACCUGUGGCGAAGGCGCCUCACCAGAACGGCUUCGACAGUGAGGGACGAAAGCUGGGGGAGCAAACCGRAUUAGAUACCCGGGUAGUCCCAGCCGUAAACGAUGCGCGUUAGGUGUAUCGAUGACCACGAGUCAUCGAGGUGCCGAAGGGAAACCGUGAAACGUACCGCCUGGGAAGUACGGUCGCAAGGCUGAAACUUAAAGGAAUUGGCGGGGGAG